RNAcentral lists this microRNA (20 nucleotides) under Corchorus olitorius. Its description in RNAcentral is "bta-miR-24". The record is from RNAcentral. Lineage: Eukaryota; Viridiplantae; Streptophyta; Magnoliopsida; Malvales; Malvaceae.
UUUGUGGUGUUUUUUCUUUU